RNAcentral lists this ribosomal RNA (497 nucleotides) under uncultured bacterium. Its description in RNAcentral is "partial 16S ribosomal RNA". It matches the Rfam family "Bacterial small subunit ribosomal RNA", at positions 28 to 507 of the family's 1533-position model. The record is from RNAcentral.
GAUGAACGCUGGUGGCGUGCCUAAUACAUGCAAGUCGAGCGAACAGAUGAGGAGCUUGCUCCUCUGACGUUAGCGGCGGACGGGUGAGUAACACGUGGAUAACCUACCUAUAAGACUGGGAUAACUUCGGGAAACCGGAGCUAAUACCGGAUAAUAUAUUGAACCGCAUGGUUCAAUAGUGAAAGACGGUUUUGCUGUCACUUAUAGAUGGAUCCGCGCCGCAUUAGCUAGUUGGUAAGGUAACGGCUUACCAAGGCAACGAUGCGUAGCCGACCUGAGAGGGUGAUCGGCCACACUGGAACUGAGACACGGUCCAGACUCCUACGGGAGGCAGCAGUAGGGAAUCUUCCGCAAUGGGCGAAAGCCUGACGGAGCAACGCCGCGUGAGUGAUGAAGGUCUUCGGAUCGUAAAACUCUGUUAUUAGGGAAGAACAAAUGUGUAAGUAACUAUGCAUGUCUUGACGGUACCUAAUCAGAAAGCCACGGCUAACUACGUG